Molecule: ribosomal RNA, 618 nt
Filed under: uncultured Magnetobacterium sp.
Lineage: Bacteria; Pseudomonadati; Nitrospirota; Thermodesulfovibrionia; Thermodesulfovibrionales; Magnetobacteriaceae (SeqCode)
Description: bacterial SSU rRNA
Rfam family: Bacterial small subunit ribosomal RNA
Source: RNAcentral
AGAGUUUGAUCCUGGCUCAGAACGAACGCUGGCGGCGUGCUUAACACAUGCAAGUCGAACGGGUUUAUUGGAUGUAGCAAUACAUUCAAUAGAUUAGUGGCGCACGGGUGAGUAACACGUAGGCAACCUACCCUUCAGUGGGGGACAACAGAGGGAAACUUCUGCUAAUACCGCAUACGGCCUUGUACUGGGAUGUACGAGGAGAAAGGAUUUAUUCGCUGAGGGAUGGGCCUGCGGCCUAUCAGGUAGUUGGUGGGGUAAAGGCCUACCAAGCCUGCGACGGGUAGCCGGACUGAGAGGUCGACCGGCCACACUGGAACUGAGACACGGUCCAGACUCCUACGGGAGGCAGCAGUGGGGAAUAUUGCACAAUGGGGGAAACCCUGAUGCAGCGACGCCGCGUGGAGGAUGACGGCCUUCGGGUUGUAAACUCCUUUUGUCAGGGACAAUGGUGAUGGUACCUGACGAAUAAGCCACGGCUAACUCUGUGCCAGCAGCCGCGGUAAGACAGAGGUGGCGAGCGUUGUUCGGAAUUACUGGGCUUAAAGGGCGCGUAGGCGGUGGUGUAGUCUGGGGGUGGAAUGCUACAGCUCAACUGUAGAGCUGCCUUGGAAACUG